This 475-nucleotide ribosomal RNA is filed under the name uncultured soil bacterium. Its description in RNAcentral is "bacterial SSU rRNA". It matches the Rfam family "Bacterial small subunit ribosomal RNA", at positions 26 to 518 of the family's 1533-position model. The record is from RNAcentral.
AGGACGAACGCUGGCGGCGUGCUUAACGCAUGCAAGUCGAGCGGUAAGGCCUUUCGGGGUACACGAGCGGCGAACGGGUGAGUAACACGUGGGUGAUCUGCCCUGCACUUCGGGAUAAGCCUGGGAAACUGGGUCUAAUACCGGAUAUGACCUCAGGUUGCAUGACUUGGGGUGGAAAGAUUUAUCGGUGCAGGAUGGGCCCGCGGCCUAUCAGCUUGUUGGUGGGGUAAUGGCCUACCAAGGCGACGACGGGUAGCCGACCUGAGAGGGUGACCGGCCACACUGGGACUGAGACACGGCCCAGACUCCUACGGGAGGCAGCAGUGGGGAAUAUUGCACAAUGGGCGAAAGCCUGAUGCAGCGACGCCGCGUGAGGAUGACGGCCUUGGGUUGUAAACCUCUUUCAGCAGGACGAAGCGCAAGUGACGGUACCUGCAGAAGAAGCACCGGACUAACUACGUGACCAGCAGCCGAC